RNAcentral lists this ribosomal RNA (553 nucleotides) under uncultured bacterium. Its description in RNAcentral is "partial 16S ribosomal RNA". It matches the Rfam family "Bacterial small subunit ribosomal RNA", at positions 355 to 901 of the family's 1533-position model. The record is from RNAcentral.
UGGGGAAUUUUGGACAAUGGGGGCAACCCUGAUCCAGCAAUGCCGCGUGUGUGAAGAAGGCCUUCGGGUUGUAAAGCACUUUUGUCCGGAAAGAAAACGUCGUGGUUAAUACCCGUGGCGGCUGACGGUACCGGAAGAAUAAGCACCGGCUAACUACGUGCCAGUAGCCGCGGUAAUACGUAGGGUGCAAGCGUUAAUCGGAAUUACUGGGCGUAAAGCGUGCGCAGGCGGUCCGCUAAGACAGAUGUGAAAUCCCCGGGCUUAACCUGGGAACUGCAUUUGUGACUGGCGGGCUAGAGUAUGGCAGAGGGGGGUAGAAUUCCACGUGUAGCAGUGAAAUGCGUAGAGACGUGGAGGAAUACCGAUGGCGAAGGCAGCCCCCUGGGCCAAUACUGACGCUCAUGCACGAAAGCGUGGGGAGCAAACAGGAUUAGAUACCCUGGUAGUCCACGCCCUAAACGAUGUCAACUAGUUGUCGGGUCUUCAUUGACUUGGUAACGUAGCUAACGCGUGAAGUUGACCGCCUGGGGAGUACGGUCGCAAGAUUAAAACU